This 253-nucleotide ribosomal RNA is filed under the name uncultured bacterium. Its description in RNAcentral is "partial 16S ribosomal RNA". It matches the Rfam family "Bacterial small subunit ribosomal RNA", at positions 524 to 776 of the family's 1533-position model. The record is from RNAcentral.
UACGGAGGGAGCUAGCGUUGUUCGGAAUUACUGGGCGUAAAGCGCACGCAGGCGGCUUUGUAAGUCAGUGGUGAAAGCCUGGAGCUCAACUCCAGAACUGCCUUUGAGACUGCAUCACUUGAAUCCAGGAGAGGUGAGUGGAAUUCCGAGUGUAGAGGUGAAAUUCGUAGAUAUUCGGAAGAACACCAGUGGCGAAGGCGGCUCACUGGACUGGUAUUGACGCUGAGGUGCGAAAGCGUGGGGAGCAAACAGG